This 221-nucleotide ribosomal RNA is filed under the name uncultured bacterium. Its description in RNAcentral is "partial 16S ribosomal RNA". It matches the Rfam family "Bacterial small subunit ribosomal RNA", at positions 113 to 334 of the family's 1533-position model. The record is from RNAcentral.
CAACGUGAGCAACCUGCCUCAGAGACCGGGAUAACAGCGGGAAACCGCUGCUAAUACCGGAUGUCCCCACCGGGUCGCAUGGCCUGGUGAGGAAAUGGAUUCCGCUCUGAGAGGGGCUCGCGGGCUAUCAGCUUGUUGGUGGGGUAACGGCCUACCAAGGCGACGACGGCUAGCUGGUCUGAGAGGACGACCAGCCACACUGGGACUGAGACACGGCCCAG